Molecule: long non-coding RNA, 295 nt
Filed under: Gossypium raimondii (Peruvian cotton)
Lineage: Eukaryota; Viridiplantae; Streptophyta; Magnoliopsida; Malvales; Malvaceae
Description: long non-coding RNA (GRAI_LNC004570)
Source: RNAcentral
UUUUGACUAGGCCCAAAUCAUACCCAAAUCCAAAUAAAUAAUGAAUCAAACAAAACCAAAUACAAUAAAAUAAACCCAUUACAGGACCAAAUCAGAAAUUACAUGCCCAAACUAGCCUAAACAUUGGGAAAUCAGAAACCCUAGGCAGCAAACUAAGCCGCCGCAGCAUCCUUGCAACACGCCACCUUCGGUUUUCACCACCAUCGCGCCACGUUGGCAUCUAUACGCCCCAGCUGGCCCUCGUACAACUGUACCUCCGCAACAAACAAAUAAACAACCGCGCAGAAGAAGGAAA